CAAGUCGUACCGUAGUAUCCUGUAGCUUGCUAGAAGAUGACGAGCGGCGGACGGGUGAGUAAUGCUUGGGAACAUGCCUUAGGGUGGGGGACAACCGUUGGAAACGACGGCUAAUACCGCAUAACGUCUACGGACCAAAGGGGGCUUCGGCUCUCGCCUUUAGAUUGGCCCAAGUGGGAUUAGCUAGUUGGUGAGGUAAAGGCUCACCAAUGUGACGAUCCCUAUCUGGUUUGAGAGGAUGAUCAGCCACACUGGAACUGAGCCAUGAUCCAAAUCUAUACGGGAGGCAGCANUGGGGAAUAUUGCACAAUGGGCGCAAGCCUGAUGCAGCCAUGCCGCGUGUGUGAAGAAGGCCUUCGGGUUGUAAAGCACUUCCACCAAGGAGGAAAGGUUAGUACUUAAUAGCUGCUAGCUGUGACGUUACUUGCAGAACAAGCACCGGCUACCUCCGUGCCAGCAGCCGCUGUAAUAUCGAGGGUGCGAGCGUUAGUCGGAAUUACUGGGCGUAAAUCGUACGCAUGCGGUUUGUCAGCCGACAUGGGAACGCCCCGGGCUCUCCUUGGGAACGGCUGUCCCAACUGGCCCGCUAUAGUGUCACACACGGUUGUACCCGUGCCGUUGUGCUCGGGAC
This 631-nucleotide ribosomal RNA is filed under the name Pseudoalteromonas sp. Its description in RNAcentral is "bacterial SSU rRNA". It matches the Rfam family "Bacterial small subunit ribosomal RNA", at positions 58 to 685 of the family's 1533-position model. The record is from RNAcentral. Lineage: Bacteria; Pseudomonadati; Pseudomonadota; Gammaproteobacteria; Alteromonadales; Pseudoalteromonadaceae.